Pelobates cultripes (western spadefoot toad) is the source of this 404-nucleotide non-coding RNA. Lineage: Eukaryota; Metazoa; Chordata; Amphibia; Anura; Pelobatidae. The record is from the annotation of a GenBank genome assembly.
CACAGUUAUACAUAUACACUGUCAAAUCCACCACACCACCGCACACAGUCGCAGGCAAAUGGUCACAUACACAGGCAGAAACACACAAGUACAGGCAGUAACACACAUACACAGUUACAGGCAGAUAAACACACACACACACACGCACACACAAUUACAGGUAGACAGCCACACACACACACACACACACACACACACACACAAGCAGACAGCCCCACAUAUACAGCCACACAUACAGUCUUACACACACAUACUUACAUGCAGACAGUCACACUUAUUCGCACACACACACACACGAAGACAGCCACACACUCACACACACAGGCAGACAGCCAGACACACACACACACACACAGGCAGGCAGCCAAACACACACAAGAAGACAUCCACACACAGAGGCAGGC